Molecule: ribosomal RNA, 573 nt
Filed under: Triticum aestivum (bread wheat)
Lineage: Eukaryota; Viridiplantae; Streptophyta; Magnoliopsida; Poales; Poaceae
Description: partial small subunit ribosomal RNA
Source: RNAcentral
AUGGUGAUUCGUGCCUCCUUAAACGCGAACAAUGUUGCGGUCUUCCUUGCGCUGGUUAAAUCUGAAAUCAAAUUCUUUGUAGAAACCCUUGCGUGCUUUGGGGAGGUCACUGGCCUGGUCACGAAAUGCUCUAAAAGCAUGGUUGCCCCCAUCCAAUGUGAUCACUUGGACCUUGAUGAUAUACUACAUUCCUUCCCGGCCAACCGAUCUACCUUCCCGAUGAAGUAUCUCGGAUUGCCACUGUCAGUCAAGAGGCUAAAAAGGAUCCACUUCCAGCCACUAGAGGACAAGAUUGCGGCCAAGCUUACUCCAUGGCUGGGCAUGCUCAUGGCAUCUCCGGGAAGGGCAGUGCUAGUCAAGUCUGUGAUCACGGCCAUCGCUAUAUACUAUAUGACAGCGUUAAACUUACUGGUUGAGGUCCUGGAAAAGAUUGGUUCUCUUUGCCGGGCCUUCCUUUGGGAGGGCUAUGACAAGGUGCUUCUCGGCAAUGGUCUCCGGGCUUCUUUCUUGGAGUCCGCUUGGCUCGAUGGUUUGAGGCCCAAAGACAUCGGCCCGAAGAUUUUUGAUCUAUAA